CGCAUCUUGGAGUAGAGGCUUGAGUUUUCCGGCUCUUUCAGUCGGGAGAGGACGGAGAACUGGCCCAACAGUUCCAAGGUGCCAGGUGCGC
Molecule: transfer RNA, 91 nt
Filed under: Aeromonas salmonicida
Lineage: Bacteria; Pseudomonadati; Pseudomonadota; Gammaproteobacteria; Aeromonadales; Aeromonadaceae
Description: tRNA-Lys(ttt)
Source: RNAcentral